RNAcentral lists this ribosomal RNA (408 nucleotides) under uncultured bacterium. RNAcentral describes it as "partial 16S ribosomal RNA". It matches the Rfam family "Bacterial small subunit ribosomal RNA", at positions 28 to 526 of the family's 1533-position model. The record is from RNAcentral.
GACGAACGCUGGCGGCGUGCUUAACACAUGCAAGUCGAACGAAGUGGCGAACGGGUGCGUAAUACGUGGGUAACCUGCCCUCCUUUUUGGGAUAAGCCUUGGAAACGGGGUCUAAUACCGACUAAAGGGUGAUGGGCUCGCGGCCUAUCAGCUUGUUGGUGGGGUGAUGGCCUACCAAGGAGGUGACGGGUAGCCGGCCUGAGAGGGUGAACGGCGAAAUUGGGACUGAGAUACGGCGCAGACACCUACCGGAGGGAGCAGUGGGGGAUAUUGCACAAUGGGGGAAAGCCUGAUGCAGUGACGCCGCGUGGGGGAUGAAGGAGUUGGGGUUGUAAACCUCGUUCGCUAUCGAAAGGGAAGGUGGAGAAGAAGCGCCGGCUAACUACGUGCCAGCCGCCGCGGUAAUAC